RNAcentral lists this ribosomal RNA (468 nucleotides) under uncultured bacterium. RNAcentral describes it as "partial 16S ribosomal RNA". It matches the Rfam family "Bacterial small subunit ribosomal RNA", at positions 28 to 507 of the family's 1533-position model. The record is from RNAcentral.
GACGAACGCUGGCGGCGUGCUUAACACAUGCAAGUCGAACGGAAAGGCCCUGCUUUUGUGGGGUGCUCGAGUGGCAAACGGGUGAGUAACACGUGAGUAACCUGCCCUUGACUUUGGGAUAACUUCAGGAAACUGGGGCUAAUACCGGAUAGGAGCUCCUGCUGCAUGGUGGGGGUUGGAAAGUUUCGGCGGUUGGGGAUGGACUCGCGGCUUAUCAGCUUGUUGGUGGGGUAGUGGCUUACCAAGGCUUUGACGGGUAGCCGGCCUGAGAGGGUGACCGGCCACAUUGGGACUGAGAUGCGGCCCAGACUCCUACGGGAGGCAGCAGUGGGGAAUAUUGCACAAUGGGCGGAAGCCUGAUGCAGCAACGCCGCGUGCGGGAUGACGGCCUUCGGGUUGUAAACCGCUUUCGCCUGAGACGAAGCGUGAGUGACGGUAAUGGGUAAAGAAGCACCGGCUAACUACGUG